CAACAACACCUCCAUUAUAACUUUACUUACAUUUUGCACCACCAUCAAACCAAGCACCUCCCGCCUCUUCACAGACUACCAUGUCCGUCGACAAGAAUCUCCAUAUAGUAAUGUUCCCAUGGCUAGCUUUCGGCCAUAUGAUUCCUUAUCUUGAGCUCUCCAAACUCAUUGCUCAAAAGGGUCACCGAGUCUCCUUCGUUUCCACCCCCAAAAACAUCGACCGUCUCCCAACACAACUCCCUCCUCAUCUAUCUCCUUUUCUCAGCUUCGUCAAAAUUCCUCUGCCUCAACUCCAUAAUCUGCCUCCCCGACGCAAGAGGCCACAUCCGAUCUCCCUUACGACAAAGUUCAGUUUCUCAAAAAAGCCUUCGACGCCCUCAAACAACCCCUCUCUGACUUUCUUCAAACUUCCGAUGCAGAUUGGAUCUUGUACGACUUUGCUCCCUAUUGGGUUGGUCAAGAGAUCGGACCCAAUCUCCGGAUUAAGACAGCUUUCUUCACCAUCUUUAUUCUCCAAUCUCUCGCAUUCGUCGGUCCCAUGUCAGGGGACAGUCGCAUGAAACUGGAGGAUUUUACGGUUCCUCCCGACUGGAUCCCUUUCCCCACUACCGUAGCAUUUCGUCACUUCGAAAUUAAAAAGCUUUUCGACUUCGUAGCUGGUAAUACCACCGGAGUUACCGAUAUUGAUCGCUUGAAAAUGAGUGCUCACUACAGCGAUUUAGUGGUUGUGAGAGCCUUCCCUGAAUUCGAACCGGAGUGGAUUCAACUGCUUGAAGAUAUACACCAUAAAACCGUUUUACCAGUUGGUCAACUACCUACGUCGGAGUACGAUUUGAAGGAAGACAAUCCAACGUGGCAGUCCAUUAAAGAGUGGCUGGACAAACAAGCUAAAGGUUCUGUGGUCUACGUGGCAUUCGGGAGUGAGGCCAAACCUAAUCAACACGAACUAACAGAGAUCGCUUUGGGGUUGGAACAAUCGAGGUUUUCGUUUUUUUGGGUUUUAAGGACACGGCUCGGACUAUCUGACCCUGAACCGAUUGAGCUGCCCGAGGGAUUCGAGGAACGAACCAAAGGGCGGGGUGUUGUGUGCACCACUUGGGCGCCGCAGUUGAAGAUAUUGGGGCAUGAGUCGGUGGGUGGGUUUUUGACACACUCUGGUUGGAGCUCUGUUGUGGAAGCGAUUCAGAGUGAAAGAGCGUUGGUGUUACUGUCUUUUGUGGCGGACCAAGGAAUCAUUGCGAGAGUGUUGGAAGAGAAGAAGAUGGGUUACUGCGUUCCAAGGAGCGAAUUGGAUGGUUCGUUUACGAGGGACUCAGUGGCCGAAUCAUUGAAGUUGGUAAUGGUGGAGGAAGAAGGUAAGGUUUAUAGAGAGAGAAUAAGAGAGAUGAAGGAUUUGUUUGUGAACAAAGAAAGAGAUGAGAAGUUAAUUGAUGGGUUUUUGAGCUAUCUAAAGAAGCAUAGAAACAAUGUUGAUGAGCAGGAUCAUUAAUUAACUAUGAAUUUCAGAACAUUAGAGUGUGUAAUACAAUCAAUCUUAUUGAUUGUGUAAUAAAAUUGAUUGUUUAUAUUUUGAGUCACAUGGAUUUGUCUUUUAAUGUGUGUAGUAGGAAAAAUAAAAAGAAAAAGAAAGUGUAAGUUGAGACGCAGUUUUCAUAUUUUCAUUUAGAGAAAAGUUGCUAAAGUGUGAGUUAAAAAAUGCUGCCACACGUGGCACUUUUUUUUUAAAAAUAAAAAGUUGCUGUUAUUAUUAUUAUUAUUUUGAGAGAAGUGAAGAACACAUGUGAUUGAA
Molecule: RNA transcript, 1789 nt
Organism: Cucumis sativus (cucumber)
Lineage: Eukaryota; Viridiplantae; Streptophyta; Magnoliopsida; Cucurbitales; Cucurbitaceae
Gene name: UDP-glycosyltransferase 91A1
Exons: 1
Source: RefSeq, a predicted model, not a curated record